AGUGAACGCUGGCGGUAGGCCUAACACAUGCAAGUCGAACGGCAGCACAGUAAGAGCUUGCUCUUACGGGUGGCGAGUGGCGGACGGGUGAGGAAUACAUCGGAAUCUACUUUUUCGUGGGGGAUAACGUAGGGAAACUUACGCUAAUACCGCAUACGGCCUACGGGUGAAAGCAGGGGAUCUUCGGACCUUGCGCGAUUGAAUGAGCCGAUGUCGGAUUAGCUAGUUGGCGGGGUAAAGGCCCACCAAGGCGACGAUCCGUAGCUGGUCUGAGAGGAUGAUCAGCCACACUGGAACUGAGACACGGCCCAGACUCCUACGGGAGGCAGCAGUGGGGAAUAUUGGACAAUGGGCGCAAGCCUGAUCCAGCCAUACCGCGUGGGUGAAGAAGGCCUUCGGGUUGUAAAGCCCUUUUGUUGGGAAAGAAAAGCAGCAGGUUAAUACCCCGCUGUUCUGACGGUACCCAAAGAAUAAGCACCGGCUAACUUCGUG
RNAcentral lists this ribosomal RNA (492 nucleotides) under uncultured bacterium. RNAcentral's name for it is "partial 16S ribosomal RNA". It matches the Rfam family "Bacterial small subunit ribosomal RNA", at positions 29 to 507 of the family's 1533-position model. The record is from RNAcentral.